Lagenorhynchus albirostris (white-beaked dolphin) is the source of this 3153-nucleotide RNA transcript. It is a transcript of the gene named sorting nexin 32, with no coding region annotated. The transcript has 14 exons. The record is from RefSeq and is a predicted model, not a curated record. Lineage: Eukaryota; Metazoa; Chordata; Mammalia; Artiodactyla; Delphinidae.
GCCCAGAGGGGCGGCGGGCGGGAGUCAGCCAGCCUGGGGCGUGGGCUGACGCGACAAUAGACCUCUGCGAUCCUAGAGCCCCCCCCCGGCCCCCGACUCCAUUCUCCAAGCUGUGGGCUGUUCCCGGCCCUCUCAGUUCCGCGCUGCCCCUUAAAAGCUGGGGCCCAGGCACAGGAACGACAGGCGUUGCAGCCAAUGGCGUCCCGCACGGUAAACCUGCUACCCAAUCAAAAGGCGCGGCUGCGAGGGAACGGCGUGGAACCACGCCCGGCUCCAGGUGACUCCUUGUCGAGAACGAGAGUGAUGGAGGAGCACCUAGAGGCUGGGAAGGAGAGCAAGCCCUCCUCCUUGUCCCCGGACCUGCAGGGAGACAGCUCGUUACAGGUGGAGAUCUCUGAUGCCGUCAGCGAGCGGGACAAGGUGAAAUUCACUGUUCAAACCAAGAGCUGCGUCCCUCACUUCGCCCGGACCGAGUUCUCAGUCGUGCGACAUCAUGAGGAGUUCAUCUGGCUACACAACGCCUACGUGGAAAACGAGGAGUACGCCGGUCUCAUCAUCCCCCCAGCCCCUCCAAGGCCAGACUUUGAGGCUUCAAGGGAAAAACUGCAGAAGUUGGGUGAGGGAGACAGCUCUAUCACGCGGGAAGAGUUUGCCAAAAUGAAGGAGGAGCUGGAAGCGGAGUAUCUGGCCAUCUUUAAGAAGACAGUUGCGAUGCAUGAAGUCUUUCUGCAGCGCCUGGCGGCCCACCCCACCCUGCGUCGAGACCACAACUUCUUUGUCUUUUUGGAAUAUGGCCAGGAUCUGAGUGUCCGAGGAAAGAACAGGAAGGAGCUCCUUGGGGGGUUUCUGAGGAAUAUUGUGAAGUCUGCAGAUGAAGCCCUCAUCACUGGCAUGUCAGGGCUCAAGGAGGUGGAUGACUUCUUCGAGCAUGAGAGGACCUUCCUGCUGGAGUACCACACCCGCAUCCGGGACGCCUGCCUUCGGGCAGACAGAGUCAUGCACUCUCACAAGUGCCUGGCAGAUGAUUAUAUCCCUAUCUCAGCUGCACUGAGCAGUCUGGGAACACAAGAAGUCAACCAGCUAAAGACGAGCUUCCUCAAAUUGGCAGAGCUCUUUGAACGACUAAGGAAACUGGAGGGCCGAGUGGCUUCUGACGAGGACCUGAAGCUGUCGGACAUGCUGAGGUACUACUUGCGCGACUCACAGGCAGCCAAGGUGAGAGGUGGCCCCAGAGCAGACCUCAGGGCUGGAGCCACCAGGGAGGGCGGGCAGGUAGGCAAGGGCCUGGGCCAGGGAUCCUGUGCCCCUGCCGGCCCCAGGACCUGCUGUACCGGCGGCUGCGGGCGCUGGCAGACUAUGAGAACGCCAACAAGGCACUGGACAAGGCGCGCACCAGGAACCGGGAGGUGCGGACCGCCGAGAGCCACCAGCAGCUGUGCUGCCAGCGCUUUGAACGCCUCUCCGACUCAGCCAAGCAGGAGCUCAUGGACUUCAGAUCCCGCCGCGUCUCCUCCUUCCGCAAGAACCUCAUCGAGCUGGCGGAGCUGGAGCUCAAACACGCUAAGGCCACCACCCUGCUUCUACGGAACACCCUUGUCAUCCUCAAGGGGGAACCUUAGAGCCACCAGAGUGCCCCCCGACCUCCCACCCCAGCAAGAUGCCUCCUUCCCCACCCCAGGAGCCACUCACCAUGCCCCGUGACUUCUCGGGGCAAGGCCUACCCCUACCCCAAGGUGCCAGGCCCUGCAAGAUAGGGCAGCAUGGGCACCACACUUGGCCACAGGGCAACACUUCCACCCUACCUGCAGGGCAGGUGAAAACCCAAAGCACAGGGCUGGAAAAGAGCCCACAGCAAUGCCAGGAAGAAGCGUGGGGCUCCAGCCAACACUCUCUUGGUUAAACACAGGAAGGUGGAGCCCAAGACACCUGGGUCUGAAGUCCUGGACUCCACCUGGCUGGCCCCACCCUGGCCCCCAGCCACAUCUGCAGAAGGCCAAAGACUCAACCUGGCUUUGGACUCACAGCAGCCACUGGACCCAGCCCUUAUAAAUGAGUCAGCCAUCCAGGGGAGAGAGCAGAGCCAAAGACCAAAUACUGAAAGUGGAGAAAAAGGUCAAGAAGCAACCAGUAACUUGCAGUCUCGGGGCCCACAUCUGGGCAAGACUGCACAGGGGAUCACAGAAUGGGCCUCACUGUCCUACUGCCCACCUGGGUCAAGGCAACAGAAGAAACCAGUUCAGGGAUUAAGCCCCUCUGUUCAAGGAACCCCUGCAGCCAGUAGCAGACACACCCUGGCUCAGCUACCUUCCAGGCUGGUGCCAACUAUGACGCCAGGAUAUAGAGAGGGAACUGUCAGAAAGGAGACUCAGCUAGUCACUGGCGCCAAAUGAGGGUGUGUGGGGCUGGCUGGAAGGAGGGUUAGGGAAGAGAUGCUACACAUUCUCCCAGCCUACCCGCCCCCAAGGUCCCCUGGGCCCCAACCUCCAAACAAACAUCCCAUUAGUGAGCCUUUUUAUUGUUGUGUGUUUUUUUUGUUUUUUUAAUUGAGGGUCCCUUACUGGUCCUGCUUCCAUGAGUGGCUGUGACCAGGGGCAAGGGGGAGGGGAACCAGGUGGCGCAGGGAGGGGUCAUCUCCACAACAUUCCAUUUAUACACAGAACUAAACAGACAAGCACAGAGUCACUAUUGUGGUUAGAAGUUGGCAGCAUGGGAAAAGGGAGGAACAAGGGGGGAACUGGGGUGUCGUUAAAAAAAAUACAGGUCCCCCCCAAACAGGGGUUCCUGGGGGGAACUUGGUCUGUUUCAACCCAAGAGGAAUCAGAAGAUCAAAAGCGGUUUGGGAAGGCCAGAACCGUCAGGGAUGGAGGAAGAGGAGGAAGGUCCAGGGGGUGGGGGGGCUGUUUGGCAACUGGGGUGAAGGGACUGCCCUCCCCCUGCUGGGUUCCCCCCAGCCCCUCCGGUCUGGCAGGAAGGGGGCAGCCUGCAACCCCCAUGGGCAGGUCUGGGGCUGCCAGAUGCUCCAGGCAGGGGGCUGGAGGGGGCUCACAAAGGCUUGCCCUCCAGAGAGAUGACGGCGCUGCCCCCCAGCUUCUCUGCCAGGGUGCAGCGGUCCUUGACCUCCUCAUAGCAGUUUGCUUGCAAUUCAUGCUUGAU